GUUGUUGUUUGUUUUGAUAUGGCCAUGUUUUGGGUGGGAGGUGUUUAGGCGUUGAGAGACGUAUGAAAUGUGUCAAAAUAUCGUAAUCCUUGGUAACGAAUUUCGUCGCGGUAAUUGUACGUGUCGAGGAGGGCCGGGUGUCAGGCAGACUUAACGGCCCCGGGCCGCCCGGGGCCCGAGCGUACCCGAGAGCCUACGAGGUAUGUGCAAGCCGCUCGAACCGACUCCGUGUAGGCACGCUGAAAUUCAAUGAUUUUCUUCGCCGAACGCAGAGGCUAGGUGUGAAAUAUGGUAUGACUCUGAUUAGUGCAAGGUGUCGAUUUUAUUAUCUUGUGAUGAUCGCAUUGAAGUUGUCAAGUGACCUGUGGCCCACAAGAGCAGAAGGGGUGAAUAAUUAAUGAAGGGUCCCCGUCGAGCAGCGCCUUAGUAGCAGAAGAUGGAGUGAGCAAGUUACUUUAAUUAUCAGCUGUUGGAUUUUAUUUUGCAUUGAACGCUUUUUGAUGAGUGUAUGUGUGUUCCGUAUGAAAGUAUUUAAUACUCUUGAGGGUUAGAUCGACAAAGCUUUGAUCUCUCUCUUACUGGACUAUACGAGGCUAUGAGAAUCACUAGUGGGCUGAACACUGUUUAUUUGUUAUAUGCUGGUAUCUGGUGUCAGAUAUGGAAGGCAAAUUAUGAUAAGAUUUUGCAAGACUUUGCAAGUCUCCAACAGUUUGCAUUUUAAUGUGAUUGGCUCAUUUGUUUUGAAAUCUGACACUUGGUCACCAGAUGUUAUUGAUGCGGGGAAGGAUUUUGUACAAGGUCUCUGAGAUGUUCUUCAAUCUUGGUUUACUUAGUUGGCACAUCAGAGUUUGGAGCAGGAUACGAUCUUUGCUUGUGGCAAGUAAUUUGGAGCGCGUCAGAAAUUGUGUGAAGACGUUCAAGACACAUUAAUAUUACUUGUGAGAACUGAUGUGGUGUUCCAUUCAUUGUUAUUCAGCUUCGGUGUCACUGCCUGCACAUUGAUGGAGUAUUUACUGGUACUAUGCAGAAACAUUGCCAUGGUGUUGAUGGGAACUGAAUGACUGAUUUGCCUUCAAUUUUAACUACACUGGGAGCAAGAAGUUUCUGACGCAAAGCGGCUACAUUUUGUGUUUGGAGGGGCAGGCUGAGUUGGGGUGUCGCUGUUGGCGUUUUAGCGUUAAUUCGGGCUUGGGAUAAUCAAUUCCGGUUUAUCUUCCGCCAACAAAGUUACGUUAGGCUUCCAGUUCUCCUAGUGAUAAAUCUAAAAUGCGGGUUUUAAAA
Molecule: long non-coding RNA, 1281 nt
Organism: Frankliniella occidentalis (western flower thrips)
Lineage: Eukaryota; Metazoa; Arthropoda; Insecta; Thysanoptera; Thripidae
Exons: 10
Source: RefSeq, a predicted model, not a curated record